AUGUCUUCAACAAAGGAGAGAUGUACUGGUUGUAGAUUUUUGGCUGGCUCCCGGGGCCAAUAUUUUUUUUUAAAUGAAAAAAAAACAAUACAAAAUUUUUUGGUGUACUUAGUCACAUCCAAAUGCUACCUGCAAAUUUUGAGGCAAAAAGAUAAAAUAUUUUGGCUUGUACAAAAAAAAAACAAAUCGAACACCAAAAGUUACCCAAAUUUGUUUGUUUUACCAACAAAACACCGUCAUGUUUGCGACACUAAUACAAUCAUCUACAAAAAAAUUCAGAAUUUUUUAAAAACAUUUAAUAUUGUUUUUCUGUUACUGUUCACCCGGGAGCCAAAACGCCAGCCCCAUACUACUAAAGAUAAAUAA
RNAcentral lists this ribosomal RNA (366 nucleotides) under Triticum aestivum (bread wheat). RNAcentral describes it as "partial small subunit ribosomal RNA". The record is from RNAcentral. Lineage: Eukaryota; Viridiplantae; Streptophyta; Magnoliopsida; Poales; Poaceae.